CCCUUAGAUGUUCUGGGCCGCACGCGCGCUACACUGAUGCAUUCAACGAGUCUAAAACCUGGUCUGAUAGGGCUGGGUAAUCUUUUGAAUGUGCAUCGCGAUUGGGAUAGAUGAUUGCAAUUCUUCAUCUUCAACGAGGAAUGCCUAGUAAACGCAAGUCAUCAGCUUGCAUUGAUUACGUCCCUGCCCUUUGUACACACCGCCCGUCGCUCCUACCGAUUGAAUGUUCCGAUGAAUACCAUGGACUGAGAGUAUGAAUGGGUUCGCCUAUUUCUGCUUCUCGGGAAGUGGAGUAAAUCUUAACAUUUAGAGGAAGGAGAAGUCGUAACA
RNAcentral lists this ribosomal RNA (330 nucleotides) under uncultured eukaryote. RNAcentral's name for it is "partial 18S ribosomal RNA". It matches the Rfam family "Eukaryotic small subunit ribosomal RNA", at positions 1470 to 1796 of the family's 1831-position model. The record is from RNAcentral.